UGCCCGGCUAGCUCAAUCGGUAGAGCGUGAGACUCUUAAUCUCAAGGUUGUGGGUUCGACCCGUAAGUUCACCGUCGCCGACAU
Non-coding RNA from Colletotrichum tofieldiae, 84 nucleotides. Lineage: Eukaryota; Fungi; Ascomycota; Sordariomycetes; Glomerellales; Glomerellaceae. The record is from the annotation of a GenBank genome assembly.